UAGGGAAUCUUCGGCAAUGGGGGCAACCCUGACCGAGCAACGCCGCGUGAGUGAAGAAGGUUUUCGGAUCGUAAAGCUCUGUUGUAAGUCAAGAACGGGUGUGAGAGUGGAAAGUUCACACUGUGACGGUAGCUUACCAGAAAGGGACGGCUAACUACGUGCCAGCAGCCGCGGCAAUACGUAGGUCCCGAGCGUUGUCCGGAUUUAUUGGGCGUAAAGCGAGCGCAGGCGGUUUGAUAAGUCUGAAGUUAAAGGCUGUGGCUCAACCAUAGUUCGCUUUGGAAACUGUCAAACUUGAGUGCAGAAGGGGAGAGUGGAACUCCAUGUGUAGCGGUGAAAUGCGUAGAUAUAUGGAGGAACACCGGUGGCGAAAGCGGCUCUCUGGUCUGUAACUGACGCUGAGGCUCGAAAGCGUGGGGAGCGAACAGGAUUAGAUACCCUGGUAGUCCACGCCGUAAACGAUGAGUGCUAGGUGUUGG
Molecule: ribosomal RNA, 479 nt
Filed under: uncultured bacterium
Lineage: Bacteria
Description: partial 16S ribosomal RNA
Rfam family: Bacterial small subunit ribosomal RNA
Source: RNAcentral